UUCUUCAGUUCAUGGGAUUUUAUUUCAGGAGAAUUCAAACAUUCAUGUAUUGGAGAAGAUGACACAUUUCUUGAAUGUCUUUGGCUUUGAGCUGAAUGCACUAACUAGAAGGGACUUCAGAUUGUCCUCCUUAGGGGGAGGUAACUAUAUUCUUCAUAUACAGGUAAGAGUGAAAUGAUAGAAGAAUGUUCCUCCUCUCCUUUUCUUCCUGGACAACAGAUCAAAUAUUUCUCAGAUCUUUUACAGUUGAAUUGGAGUCACAUGGACAGGUAUGAUCUUAAAAUAUAAAAAAUUAUUUUAAAAUUACAUGCUAAAAUUUUAUAAAAAUAAAUGCUAAAACUAACUCAAAUGGAAGCAUUUGAUUAAAAAAUUUAUCCAAAAAAGUUUGAAUUUUAUAUGAAACAGGAUAGAAGAUGAAAAAGCUAAAGAAACAAAAUACAAAGAAAUUAUGGCUGGGGACAGUGGCUCACACCUGUAAUCCCAGCACUUUGGGAGGCUGAGGUGGGAGGAUUGAUUGAGGCUACGAGUUUGAGACCUGUUAUUUGGAGGCACAUGGGAAGGAAAGUUUUCUUUGAGAUAUUCCACAUUUUAUAAUAUUCUUCAAGAGAUUUACAGAGUCCCUUGAGUGAAUUGUUGGUUUGUUCUUAGUACUGAAUUUCCUAUUCAAAUUUAUUUAGAAGUUCAUUUCUUACAGUGAUCUCAUCUCCUAUUAAGAUAUUCUUCAAGGUAGGUUCUUGGCCAGUUUCUCAAUGACAGAUUUUUAAAAAUAUUGUUAAUCUUUUUAUUAAUAUGAGAACAUAAUUGUUCCAGAUCUGGAGGCCAUCCUUUAAGCUUCUUGCAACAGUCUGGGAGCAAAGAGUCUACUCGCCACUGGGUAGUGGGCCAUGGACACCCCAGUCUCCACCAGAAGUUCGGGAUUGCAAAAUGGGACUCUGGCAGCAAAUUUCAAACUGUAUGCCAGACCUGGCCCUUUGCAGCGAUAUAAAAUUUUUCUUGAGGUGUCUGGAAAGAUGGCUGAAUAGGAACAGCUCCGCUCUGCAGCUCCCAGCGAGAUCAACGCAGAAGGAGAUAAUUUCUGCAUUUCCAACUAAGGUACCCAGCUUAUCUCAUUGGGACUGGUUAGACAGUGGGUGCAGCCCACAGAAGGCAAGCAGAAGCAGGGUGGGGUGUCACCUCACCCGGGAAGCACAAGGGGUCAGAGAACUCCCUCCCCUAGCCAAGGGAAGCCGUGAGGGACUGUGCCGUGAGGAACGGGGCAUUCCGGCACAGAUACUAUGCUUUCCCCAUGGUCUUUGCAACCCACAGACCAGGAGAUUCCCUUGGGUGCCUACACCACCAGGGCCCUGGGUUUUAAGCAAAAAACUGGGCUGCCAUUUGGGUAGACACUGAGCUAGCAGCAGGAGUUUUUUUCAUACCCUAGUAGCCCCUAGAAUGCCAGCGAGACAGAACUGUUCACUCCCCUGGAAAGGGGCACUGAAGCCAGGAAGCCAAGUGUUCUAGCUCAGUAGAUCCCACCCCUACGGAGCCCAGCAAGCUGAGACCCACUGGGUUGAAAUUCUCGCUGCCAGCACAGCAGUCUGAUGUCCACCUGGAAUGCUUGAGCUUGGUGCAGGGAGGGGCGUCUGCCAUUACUGAGGCUUGAUUAGGCAGUUUCCCCCUCACAGUGUAAACAAAGCUAUUGGGAAGUUUGAACUGGGUGGAGCCCACUGCAGCUCAGCAAAGUUGCUGUAGCAAGAGUGUCUCUCUAGAUUCCUCCUCUCUGAGCAGGACAUCUCUGAAACAAAGACAGCAGCCCCAGUCAGGGACUUAUAGAUAAAACUCCCAUCUCCCUGGGACAGAGCACCUGAGGGAAGGGGCAGCUGUGGGCACAGCUUCAGGACACUUAAACGUUCCUGCCUGCUGGCUCUGAAGAAAGCAGCAGAUCUCCCAGCACAGUGAUCGAGUUCUGCUAAGGGACAGACUGCCUCCUCAAGUGGGUCCCUGACCCCUGUGCCUCUGGAGUGGGAGAGACCUUCCAGCAGGGGUCGACAGACAUCUGGUUGGUGCCCCUCUGAGAUGAAGCUUCCAGAGGAAGGAACAGGCAGCAAUCUGUGCUGUUCUGUGGCCUGCGCUGGUGAUACCCAGGUAAACAGGAUCUGGAGUGGAUCUCCAGCAAACUCCAGCAGACCUGCAGCAGAGGGGCCUGACUGUUAGAAGGAAAACUAACACACAGAAAGGAAUAGCAUCAACAUCAACAAAAAGGACAUCCACACAAAAACCCCAUCUGAAGGUCACCAGCAUCAAAGACCAAAGGUGGAUAAAUCCACGAAGAUGAGGAAAAACCAGCGCAAAAAGGCUGAAAAUUCCAAAAACCAGAACACCUUUUCUCCUGCAAAGGAUCACAACUCCUUGCCAGCAGGAGAACAAAACCAGAUGGAGAAUGAGUUUGACGAAUUUACAGAAGGAGGCUUCAGAAGGUGGGUAAUAACAAACUCCUCUGAGCUAAAGGAGCAUGUUCUAGCCCAAUGCAAGGAAGCUAAAAAUGAAAAAAGGCUGUAGGAAUUGCUAACUAGAAUAACCACUUUAGAGAAGAACAUAAAUGAUCUGAUGGAGCUGAAAAACACAGCACGAGAACUUCGUGAAGCAUACAGAAGUAUCAAUAGCUGAAUCGAUCAAGCAGAAGAAAGGAUAUCAGAGAUUGAAGAUCAACUUAAUGACAUAAAGUGUGAAGUCAAGAUUAGAG
This 2722-nucleotide long non-coding RNA is filed under the name Pongo abelii (Sumatran orangutan). Its description in RNAcentral is "lincRNA". Lineage: Eukaryota; Metazoa; Chordata; Mammalia; Primates; Hominidae. The record is from RNAcentral.